UCCGAUAUGGUGUAGUGGCUAACAUUAUCGCCUCUCAAAUGAUUGGUAUCAUUAUCGCGAUAGCCCGGGGUUCGAUUCCCCGUGUCGGAA
This is a non-coding RNA of Lentinula edodes (shiitake mushroom), 90 nucleotides long. The record is from Rfam. Lineage: Eukaryota; Fungi; Basidiomycota; Agaricomycetes; Agaricales; Omphalotaceae.